Bubalus bubalis (water buffalo) is the source of this 1007-nucleotide long non-coding RNA. RefSeq lists it as uncharacterized. The transcript has 3 exons. The record is from RefSeq and is a predicted model, not a curated record. NCBI's taxonomy places the organism in Eukaryota, Metazoa, Chordata, Mammalia, Artiodactyla, Bovidae.
UUAAAAACAAAAUGCAAAAAAAAAAAGAAAACUAGGCUCCAAAGUCUGUGAUCUUAACCUUAAAUCACCUUACUUAGCCACCUCCUUCAAAAAAUGCAGGAUAAAGUCAUCAUUGAUGCAAUAGCUAUGAAGACCACAGUCAUCUACCAUGGGGUAUUUGCAGAAAAAGGACACAGGCGGUAACACUGAGAAAGGCUGACGGCGCCCUGCCCCCACGCCGGUCCCGCCAGCGGUCCCCAGAGGGCGCUCUAACGCUCCCGGCUGCAGGUGGUUUGAUCAUCACAAAGUGGCCGCUGUCAGUCCUCUUGGAGCUCAGCCGCCUUGAACUCCGGGACCUUCUCCUCCACCUUCUUGCAAACACCCAGAUGUCUCCAACACCCUCCUUUUUCUCGGGAAUUAUAUCCAGGACUCAGCGCAAGCUUGCCAGCUCCUCACACCACAUCUAAUCUUGCUAAGGGCCAGCUCAAAAUGUUGCUAGUUUUCCAAAAAUAUCAGCCAGCUUUGUCGCCUGCUUCCUUUCCCUCAGAUGACCCUCUGACCACACCUGAGAAGCCCCGAGUUAGUUUCUAACACAGCUCCAAGCGUCAUACGCUUGUCAAUUGCACUUCCUCCUGGUUCCAGGUGAAAGUCCUUCUGAAGCUGGUGGGAGAUUCUGGCUGGUUGCAAGUCUGAGCUCAAGAUGCCAGCAAAGUCAAGUUCUGGGGAGAGCCCAUCAUCUUUUCGAGUCCUCACCUGGAAAAGGGGCAAGGGAUCUCUCUGGGGCCUCGUAUAUAAGGACCCUAAUUCCAACCCUGCAGCCUCCACCAUCUUGAGCUAAUCACCUCCCAAAGGCCCCACCUCCUAACACCAUCCACCUUGGGCACUAGAAUUUGACAUGAGGUUUAGUGGGACCUGGGCUUCAAUGGCACCCCACUCCAGUACUCUUGGCCUGGAAAAUCCCAUGGAUGGAGGAGCCUGGUGGGUUGCAGUCCAUGGGGUCGCUAAGAGUCAGACAUGACUGAGCGACU